RNAcentral lists this transfer RNA (61 nucleotides) under Cernuella virgata. RNAcentral's name for it is "tRNA-His". The record is from RNAcentral. Lineage: Eukaryota; Metazoa; Mollusca; Gastropoda; Stylommatophora; Geomitridae.
UUAACUGUAGGAUAAAAUAGUCCGUUGGUUUGUGGUACCAAGUGUCACGUGUGUAGUUAGC